AGGAGAAACCUUCUCGCCCUAAAAGUCACGAGAGUCUUGUAAAUGAAAUUGAGCAAGCCGUGCAAGAGACGGUGGAUGUGGAAGCCUACGUGAGAAGGCGGCAGGCCCAGCCUGCUUCCAGGAGCCAUCGGGAGGCCCAGCGGCCUGAAUUAUCUGAAAAAUUCUAAGCAGGGCAGACGUUUCAGGUGCCAGUGGGCGUUGUGGCUGCUUCAAGCAUGUUGUACCUUUUGCGGAAGAGAAGAGGUUCCCUCUGAGGGGAAAACAGCAUGAUGUCUACGCCGUGGCUAUGCUCUACUGAGGAUUUU
Heteronotia binoei (common prickly gecko) is the source of this 305-nucleotide long non-coding RNA. RefSeq lists it as uncharacterized. NCBI's taxonomy places the organism in Eukaryota, Metazoa, Chordata, Lepidosauria, Squamata, Gekkonidae. The transcript is spliced from 4 exons. The record is from RefSeq and is a predicted model, not a curated record.